Molecule: long non-coding RNA, 2738 nt
Organism: Alligator mississippiensis (American alligator)
Lineage: Eukaryota; Metazoa; Chordata; Crocodylia; Alligatoridae
Exons: 2
Source: RefSeq, a predicted model, not a curated record
UGUAAAAAAACAGAACAAACAGUGGCCAAUAUUUGCUGAAAAAGAAAGGAAAAGAAAGUUAACUUUAAUUUCUCUGUAGCAAUUACUUCCUUUCGCACAUCCUAUUAUACAAGCUGUAAGGUACAAGCAUACCUUUAUUCCCCAUCCAGCCUUAUUUAGCAAAGGUACAUACCUACCACUGAUCACUACAAAGCAUAAUAAGAACUUUAUUGAAUUAAGCAAGCCAGUGGAUUACUAACCAGAUUUAUUUAACCACAGGUGAUCAUCAGCAAGGACAGUGAAUUCCACAGUUAAGGUGGCUCUACCACUGAGAACACUUAGCUAAGCAUGCCAGAUGUGAACCAUUUCCACUGACUUCAAUAGCAAUGCUGAAGCCAAGCUGGGAGGAGCUUCUCAAAUUUAACCAGGGGGCCUCAAGCCAGGAAGAGAAGCAGAUUUUACAAGCCCACAAUAUGCUUCUUUGCGCAGCAUGGUUAAUAAUGCCUUCCUUGAGAAAUGCUGCUUGUUCUGCUACAGUCUUCAUGUUUAGCAGUCAGGGACAAGUGCAGCACAAAUACUGAAGGCAGAGAAGAUGUGCGCGUUUACCAGCUAAUGAAAUAAGGUAUGUGCAUAGGCGUGCGCGUGUAUGUGCAGGGACACCCAAAGCGUAGAGCACCGGCCGGCCUGCUUCCUAUCUGCCCAGAAAAACAGCGCGCGUUACACAGACCGCUCCCGCCACAUCCGCUCCAGCGCCAGUGUGUGUCCGUGACACGGGGCCCCCGCAGCCCCCAGGAGGGGGAGGGAGACUGCCCAGCGGGACCCCGAACCGCACCACCCCCCGCACCUUUGAUGCCGGCCAUGGCGCCGCCGCCCGGUCCCGUCCCCACGAACCGCCCAGGCCGGAAGGAGGGAGACAACCGGACACCAGGCCCCGGAAGUACGCCACGCCCUCCACUUCCGGUCUCAGGACCAAGUACCCGGAAAUUGGGCGGAGGGGAAGGGAGUGGAGGGCGCGGCCCCGCAAUCCUUCGUCACGUGAUCCAAGCAGCGAUGACGGUAAGCGGAGGCGGUGCGACACCGUUUUAAAGGGCCAGUGACACUGCAGGGGGAGUCACCCAGCCCCAACGGGAGCUCGUCGGCUAAGAUCGGCUUCAGCGUAGUCACGCGGGACACCGCAUUUAAAGGCACAGGAGAGGCAAGGCUUUGUUGGGGGGCGUAGUGACGUCAGACAAGUUGGAAUGGCGUCAGGCAAGAAUGACAUCAGCCGGGAGUGAUGUCUGACUUCUGGAAGUUUGUCUGCCUCUGUCUCAACCUCGCAGUGGGUUCAAUCCAGGAGAUCACCUGUCCCUCUCCCCCCGCACCCCCCAAACCAGCCUUGUCUCGUUGCCGGAUCAUCCUGGACCCACAGGGGUGUAGGCCAUCUUCAAAUGGCCGUGUCUGAGUACAACACCUGCAGCCACGACCCAGAGAAACCUGAGGGUACCCAACCUGGGCACUGGGCCACACCAUGGCUUCCAGAUCUGGCACGGGCUAGAGAGAGCAGAGGGCUCUUGUUACCAAAAAAAGAGCAGUCACCAAGUGCAGGCCACUUCUCCGCAAACAUUCCCCUCUGCCUUCACAACAUCUUUAGAUGACUAACGUGCAUCAGGUUAAGACCGUACAGUCUGCAUUUGCUAGGUUCAUGGCCCAUCCUUUCCUCAAAGGCUCAGAGCAGCUCACAACAAACAAGCAACCUACUGACAAGAUUCCCCAAGUGACACCCCAAAACACAAGAACGCCAACUCCCUGCAUCCCCCCACCUACUGCUUUCCUACAUGAACCUCUGCAAAAGCAAACCCUGCCACCAACCCCAACACCGGCUCCCAACUUCCAUCUACAUACAGAGAAAAGACCCUGUAUCCUACUUCACCCACACCCACCUCAACCAAGGGAAAUCCCUUCACCUCCAUUAUCCCUUCCAAAACUUUUAGUGUCAGAUUUAAAGAAUCAGUGGGCACAUUUACAUGCACUCUUUAAUGUGCAGUAGCCUAUUUUACUGCGCAUUGAAAUGGCACAUAAAAAACCAUGCUAUUAGGCUAAUAUGCAGUAAAAUAGGCUACUGCUCAUUAAGUGUCACCUAAAAAGCAUGCGCUUGUGCUACUGUGUGUUAAGGCAGCCUUUUGCUCAUUAAUAUAGUGCCUCACAUUGGAGGUACUAAAUUUAAUGUGUAUUAGGAAAAGUACAUUAAUGCAUAUGUAGAUGCACCCAGUUCAACUAAACCACAAAGUUCAAAACUAAAGUACCUUGAGACCUGGCAGGUGAAGCUGCCCAUCCCCUACACCAGUUUCAGCCAAAUCUGGCCCCACUGUGGGAGGUCUUCCCUUACUAUGACAACACAAGCUCCCCUAGGGUUUUGUAGCCAGGGCACAAGGAAGCUCAGGUCACAGAGCAGGCAGAACUCUCUCUACCACAGCUUCCCCAACCAGGCUCUGAGAGCCCCAACUUCAUCUGCCUGCACAGGGAGCUUCAGCAUAGAUGCCUAGGGGAAAGAAAGUGGAGCAGGGCAGGAAAAGCAGAGGUGUGAGGAUGCACCAGGAGCAGGGUGCCUACAAAUCCUGAGAUGGGGUUGGGGAGGUUAGAAACAGGGCAAACAGGACCAGAGAGCAAGGCAUGUUACAGGAAAUUAUUUAAUAAUUAAUUGUUUCAUGAAUUAUUUAUUUCACUAAUUACCAGUAUAUUUACAGUAUAAGCUAUAUUGUAAUAAACAUGUUGGCUCAUUA